UGGGGAAUAUUUGACAAUGGGCGCAAGCCUGAUCCAGCCAUGCCGCGUGAGUGAAGAAGGCCCUAGGGUUGUAAAGCUCUUUCACCCGCGAAGAUGAUGACGGUAGCGGGAGAAGAAGCCCCGGCUAACUCCGUGCCAGCAGCCGCGGUAAUACGGAGGGGGUUAGCGUUGUUCGGAAUUACUGGGCGUAAAGCGCGCGUAGGCGGACUAUUAAGUCAGGGGUGAAAUCCCGGGGCUCAACCCCGGAACUGCCUUUGAUACUGGUAGUCUAGAGUUCGAGAGAGGUGAGUGGAAUUCCGAGUGUAGAGGUGAAAUUCGUAGAUAUUCGGAGGAACACCAGUGGCGAAGGCGGCUCACUGGCUCGAUACUGACGCUGAGGUGCGAAAGCGUGGGGAGCAAACAGGAUUAGAUACCCCGGUAGUCC
Molecule: ribosomal RNA, 424 nt
Filed under: uncultured prokaryote
Description: bacterial SSU rRNA
Rfam family: Bacterial small subunit ribosomal RNA
Source: RNAcentral